GGGUUAGCCAAAAAGUUCGUUCGGGUUUUUCCACACCAUCUUGUGGAAAAACCCAAAGAACCCAAAUGAAAUUUUUGGCCAACCCA
RNAcentral lists this microRNA precursor (86 nucleotides) under Ovis aries (sheep). RNAcentral's name for it is "miRNA (ENSOARG00000025121.1)". The record is from RNAcentral. Lineage: Eukaryota; Metazoa; Chordata; Mammalia; Artiodactyla; Bovidae.